This 97-nucleotide transfer RNA is filed under the name Promethearchaeota archaeon. Its description in RNAcentral is "Candidatus Lokiarchaeota archaeon tRNA-Met". It matches the Rfam family "tRNA". Rfam says of the family: Transfer RNA (tRNA) molecules are approximately 80 nucleotides in length. Their secondary structure includes four short double-helical elements and three loops (D, anti-codon, and T loops). The record is from RNAcentral. Lineage: Archaea; Promethearchaeati; Promethearchaeota.
GCCGAUGUAGCUUAGCUGGUUAUAAAGCAUAAAUAUGCUUGGCUAAAGCGCCAGACUCAUAUUCUGGAGGUCGUGGGCUCAAAUCCCACCAUCGGCA